UUUNACAUACGGAGAGGCANCUUUNCCCGGGGAGGUAGUGAUUCCGCUUUCCCAGCGUGUACGAUGAAGGCCUUCCGCUUGUAAAGCUCUUUUGUUAGGNAAGAACAACCUCCGGCUAAUCUCCUGGCGCCNUGACGGUACCACAAGAAAAAGCCCCGGCUAACUACGUGCCAGCAGCCGCGGUAAUACGUAGGGGGCAAGCGUUAAUCGGAAUUACUGGGCGUAAAGCGCGCGCAGGCGGUUGUUUAAGACUGAGGUGAAAUCCCCGGGCUCAACCUGGGAAGUGCAUUUGAGACUGCGGGACUUGAGUGCGGCAGAGGGGACUGGAAUUCCUGGUGUAGCAGUGAAAUGCGUAGAUAUUUGGAGGAACACCCCUGGCGGAAGGCGGCUACCUGGGCCUGCACUGACGCUGAUGCACGAAAGCGUGGGGGAGCAAACAGGAUUAGAUACCCUGGUAGUCCACGCCCUAAACGAUGUCAACUGGUUGUUGGGGGGUUUNUUUCCCNCAANNCANCNGCUAACGCGUUANUNACCCCCCCUGGGGGAAUACNGUCCCNAUAUUGAANCUCAAGGGGAUUUGANGGG
RNAcentral lists this ribosomal RNA (585 nucleotides) under uncultured Caldimonas sp. RNAcentral describes it as "partial 16S ribosomal RNA". It matches the Rfam family "Bacterial small subunit ribosomal RNA", at positions 61 to 918 of the family's 1533-position model. The record is from RNAcentral. Lineage: Bacteria; Pseudomonadati; Pseudomonadota; Betaproteobacteria; Burkholderiales; Sphaerotilaceae.